RNAcentral lists this ribosomal RNA (512 nucleotides) under uncultured bacterium. RNAcentral's name for it is "partial 16S ribosomal RNA". It matches the Rfam family "Bacterial small subunit ribosomal RNA", at positions 28 to 523 of the family's 1533-position model. The record is from RNAcentral.
GAUGAACGCUAGCUACAGGCUUAACACAUGCAAGUCGAGGGGUAACGAGAGGAAAGCUUGCUUUCCUUGUCGACGACCGGCGCACGGGUGAGUAACGCGUAUCCAACCUGCCCCCAACUAAGGAAUAACCUUGCGAAAGUAAGACUAAUACCUUAUAAUUUCCUCAGAUGUCAUCUGACGAGGAAUAAAGAUUUAUCGGUUGUGGAUGGGGUUGCGUCUGAUUAGCUUGUUGGCGGGGUAACGGCCCACCAAGGCAACGAUCAGGAGGGGUUCUGCGAGGGAGGGCCCCCAAAUUGGAACUGAGACACGGUCCAAACUCCGACGGGAGGCAGCAGUGAGGAAUAUUGGUCAAUGGGCGAAAGCCUGAACCAGCCAAGUAGCGUGCAGGAUGACGGCCCUAUGGGUUGUAAACUGCUUUUGUACGGAACGAAAAGGUUUGGCCUAAUAAGCUGAGCUCAUGACGGUACCGUAAGAAUAAGCACCGGCUAACUACGUGCCAGCAGCCGCCGUAA